This 77-nucleotide transfer RNA is filed under the name Bradyrhizobium sp. RNAcentral's name for it is "tRNA-Arg". It matches the Rfam family "tRNA". From Rfam's summary of the family: Transfer RNA (tRNA) molecules are approximately 80 nucleotides in length. Their secondary structure includes four short double-helical elements and three loops (D, anti-codon, and T loops). Further hydrogen bonds mediate the characteristic L-shaped molecular structure. tRNAs have two regions of fundamental functional importance: the anti-codon, which is responsible for specific mRNA codon recognition, and the 3' end, to which the tRNAs corresponding amino acid is attached (by aminoacyl-tRNA synthetases). tRNAs cope with the degeneracy of the genetic code in two manners: having more than one tRNA (with a specific anti-codon) for a particular amino acid; and 'wobble' base-pairing, i.e. permitting non-standard base-pairing at the 3rd anti-codon position. Lineage: Bacteria; Pseudomonadati; Pseudomonadota; Alphaproteobacteria; Hyphomicrobiales; Nitrobacteraceae. The record is from RNAcentral.
GCGCCCGUAGCUCAAUUGGAUAGAGUAUCGGUCUUCGAAACCGAGGGUUGGGAGUUCAAGCCUCUCCGGGCGCGCCA